Molecule: ribosomal RNA, 253 nt
Filed under: uncultured bacterium
Lineage: Bacteria
Description: partial 16S ribosomal RNA
Rfam family: Bacterial small subunit ribosomal RNA
Source: RNAcentral
UACGAAGGGGGCGAGCGUUGUUCGGAAUUACUGGGCGUAAAGGGCGCGCAGGCGGCUCUGAAAGUCAGAUGUGAAAGCCCCGGGCUUAACCUGGGAAUUGCAUUUGAUACUCUGGAGCUUGAGUACGGGAGAGGAGAGUGGAGUUCCCAGUGUAGAGGUGAAAUUCGUAGAUAUUGGGAAGAACACCGGUGGCGAAGGCGGCUCUCUGGACCGUAACUGACGCUGAGGCGCGAAAGCGUGGGGAGCAAACAGG